AGAUUGAACGCUGGCGGCGUGCUUAACACAUGCAAGUCGAGCGGUAACGCGGGAGCAAUCCUGGCGACGAGCGGCGAACGGGUGAGUAAUGCUUGGGAAUCUGCCCAUUAGUGGGGAACAACCAGCCGAAAGGUUGGCUAAUACCGCAUACGCCCUACGGGGGAAAGCGGGGGAUCGAAAGACCUCGCGCUAAUGGAUGAGCCCAAGUCGGAUUAGCUUGUUGGUAGGGUAACGGCCUACCAAGGCGACAAUCCGUAGCUGGUCUGAGAGGACGACCAGCCACACUGGGACUGAGACACGGCCCAGACUCCUACGGGAGGCAGCAGUGGGGAAUAUUGGACAAUGGGGGCAACCCUGAUCCAGCGACGCCGCGUGUGUGAAGAAGGCCUGCGGGUUGUAAAGCACUUUUAGUGGGGAUGAAAAGCUCAGGGUUAACACCUCUGGGUCUUGACCUAACCACAGAAAAAGCACCGGCUAACUCUGCGCCAGCAGCCGC
RNAcentral lists this ribosomal RNA (496 nucleotides) under uncultured bacterium. RNAcentral describes it as "SSU rRNA". It matches the Rfam family "Bacterial small subunit ribosomal RNA", at positions 26 to 518 of the family's 1533-position model. The record is from RNAcentral.